GAUUGGUUUAGGGUUAACGUACCCGUAACGACGCGACCAACCUUCGUUCCUUUACGUUACCAGCACGUUAGUGGUGGGCACUCUAAGGAGACUGCCGGUGACAAACCGGAGGAAGGUGGGGAUGACGUCAAGUCAUCAUGGCCCUUACGGCCUGGGCUACACACGUGCUACAAUGGUCGGUACAAAGGGUUGCCAAGCCGCGAGGUGGAGCUAAUCCCAUAAAACCGAUCGUAGUCCGGAUCGCAGUCUGCAACUCGACUGCGUGAAGUCGGAAUCGCUAGUAAUCGUGAAUCAGAAUGUCACGGUGAAUACGUUCCCGGGCCUU
RNAcentral lists this ribosomal RNA (325 nucleotides) under uncultured Pseudomonas sp. Its description in RNAcentral is "bacterial SSU rRNA". It matches the Rfam family "Bacterial small subunit ribosomal RNA", at positions 1067 to 1382 of the family's 1533-position model. Lineage: Bacteria; Pseudomonadati; Pseudomonadota; Gammaproteobacteria; Pseudomonadales; Pseudomonadaceae. The record is from RNAcentral.